GGAGAUUGAACCCAGGGACAGUGAGCUACAUCUCCAGUCUUUUUUAUUUUGAUUUUGAUAAAGGGUCUUGGUUAAGUUGCUGAGGAUCUUGCUAAGUUGCUGAGGAUGACCUCAAACUUGUGAUCCUCCUGCCUCAGUCCUUCAAGUCACUAGGAUUACAUACAUGCACCACCAUGCCCAGCUCUGCUUUUUAUUUUUGGUUGUUUGUUUGUUUCGUUUUCCUGUUGGAAAGUGUUUUCCAAUUUGCCCACUCAGGUCUCCAACCCCUUCUAUCUCAUACAAAACCUUUAGGAACCUCAGAUGCUAUCCUUUCCUAGUGUUUGAAAAGAGUGACAUUUCAAGCAGAAUAGAGACAGUAGAGGCAGAUUCAUGAAGACUCUUUUCUGUAUCCCUUAUUUUUACACCUUUCUGAUAACCAUAUCAUUCAUUGUAAAGAUGGAUCCAAUGUCAGAACCUUAUGCUAGACAACUUGAGAAAUGCUCAGGUACAUAGGCUCUUCUGAAAAGAAUUAAAAGUGAGUCCUUCCUCAUUCUACAGCAUUUCAAACACGAUUUAAGAGUCCCCAACCAUGAUUAAGAACAUUAGGUUAUACUGAUAUAGUAAAAUAAGCUUCAAAUUGAGUCAAAUAGUCAGAUUUGCUUAUGCAUAUUCAGAAUGACAAAAGAAAAUAUUAAUUUCAAUUUACAAGUCAUCAAAAAUUACCUUGUGGGCCACAUAAUGAAUAGCCCUAUGUUAAAGUAAUGC
Molecule: long non-coding RNA, 744 nt
Filed under: Marmota monax (woodchuck)
Lineage: Eukaryota; Metazoa; Chordata; Mammalia; Rodentia; Sciuridae
Source: RNAcentral